GAGGAUCCAAACUACACACUGGACAAACUCAAUCUGAAUCAUGGAGAAGAGAUGAGGAUUACAGCAGGACCACACAAAUAUACCUGUUUUCUCACACUGGAUCCAAACACAGCAAACACUCUUCUCAUUCUGUCUGAGGAGAACAAAAAGGUGAAGCGUGUGAAGGAGAAACAGCCGUAUCCUGAUCAUCCAGACAGAUUUGAUGUUCAUCCUCAGGUGUUGUGCAGAGAGAGUGUGUGUGGACGCUGUUACUGGGAGAUUGACUGGAGUGGAGAUGUUGUGGAAAU
Molecule: non-coding RNA, 287 nt
Organism: Danio rerio (zebrafish)
Lineage: Eukaryota; Metazoa; Chordata; Actinopteri; Cypriniformes; Danionidae
Source: RefSeq, a predicted model, not a curated record